CAUCCUGAUAGCUUCUCUAGGGUCACUGAAAAUCUUUGCUGACAUUCUAGAACAUAUGAUACAGGGCAGAAGCCAGAAGCCACUGAUCAUUUUGACCAGCGACCAAAAACUUUUGGCUUUUAUCCUUCAGCAUCUGACAUAUACCAACACAGGCUGAUUUGUAGCUAGGAACCUGGUCAUAUCUCAAGUCACAGUCAAAUAUGUAUGGGGGUAACUAAUAACUCUCUUCAUUAGAGAGAACAACACUGAGGUGCUGGGGGGUGUCCUGGAGAACACAGAACUGAGAAGGGUGAAGGACUCUCAUCAC
Molecule: long non-coding RNA, 307 nt
Filed under: Homo sapiens (human)
Lineage: Eukaryota; Metazoa; Chordata; Mammalia; Primates; Hominidae
Description: non-protein coding lnc-IGF2BP1-1:1
Source: RNAcentral